UGGGGAAUCUUGCACAAUGGGCGAAAGCCUGAUGCAGCAACGCCGCGUGAGCGAAGAAGGCCUUUGGGUCGUAAAGCUCUGUCCUAAGGGAAGAAGGAAGUGACGGUACCUUAGGAGGAAGCCCCGGCUAACUACGUGCCAGCAGCCGCGGUAAUACGUAGGGGCAAGCGUUAUCCGGAAUUAUUGGGCGUAAAGAGUACGUAGGCGGUUCUUUAAGCGCAGGGUAUAAGGCUAAGGCUUAACCAUAGUUCGCCCUGUGAACUGGAGGACUUGAGUAUCGGAGAGGAAAGCGGAAUUCCUAGUGUAGCGGUGAAAUGCGUAGAUAUUAGGAGGAACACCAGUGGCGAAGGCGGCUUUCUGGACGAAAACUGACGCUGAGGUACGAAAGCGUGGGGAGCAAACAGGAUUAGAUACCC
This 416-nucleotide ribosomal RNA is filed under the name uncultured bacterium. RNAcentral describes it as "bacterial SSU rRNA". It matches the Rfam family "Bacterial small subunit ribosomal RNA", at positions 355 to 787 of the family's 1533-position model. The record is from RNAcentral.